AAAAAGUUUUUUUUACAUUAAAUGAAUUCCUAAAUAUCAAAAAUUUAAAUGGACAUUUAAUUAUGAAAUGUUAUAAGAAGUGAAAUGCUAAGACUUAUAAUUUUCCAUAUUUGGAAAAUCAAUUUUUAUUUGAUUAAAAUUUACUUUAAUUAUAUAUUAGAGUAUUAAAAUUUAGUAAAUUGAAUCAUCUAGGGUAACUAUAAUAAAAAAAUCAAUCGAGAUGUCGUAAUUAGUGGCGAGCGAAAGCGAUAAAAGUUAUAAAAAAAUAAAUUUUUGUUUAAUAUAAAUUAUAUAACCAUAGAAGGUAAGUCCUGUAAAUUUAAAAAUUUAUUUUUUUAUGAGUAAAGUGGUACAAGUUGUGUAUUUCUUGAAAAGUGAGGAACCAUCCUCAAAAACUAAGAUUUUUGAUAUUUGAUAGUGUAAUAGUACUGUGAAGGAAAGGUUAAAAAGAAAAGGUACGAUGCUAAAAAGUAUUUGUAAUAAUGACGAUUGAAAAGAUAAUGAAAUUUAAUGUUAAAUAGCAGUUUUAGCUUAUAUUAAAGUGAUAACGUACUUUUUGUAUAAAGGAUCAACAAGUUUAUUUUAGUAGCGAGCUUAAGUAAUUAUAACAUUAUGUAGGCUAAAAAAAAUUAAGUUUUAAAAUGCUGAAUUAGUUUUCUAAAAUAAAACCCGAAACUAAAGUGAGCUAACCACAAACAGGUUGAAUUUGAUGCGGUGACAGCUCAUUGGAGGACCGAACUCGUGUAUGUGGCAAUAUACUGAGAUGAUUUGUGGUUAGGGGUGAAAGGCCAAUCAAACUUAGAGAUAGCUGGUUUUCUGCGAAAUCUAUUUUAGUAGAACGUUUAAAUUCUUUAUUUUAAGGUAGAGCACUUGAUAAGUGAUGGGGAUGAAAAUCUUACUGAGCUUAUUAAAACUCCAAAUGUAAUAUAAAAGAUUUUAAGCAGACAGACUAAGAGUGCUAAGAUUCUUAGUCAAAAGGAAAACAGUCCAGACUAAUAAUUAAGGUUUUAAAAAAUAAUUAAGUGACAAAAAUGUUAUAAGAUAUUUAAAAUUAUUAGGUAGGCUUAGAAGCAGCUAACCUUUUAAAAAAUCGUAACAGAUUAUUAGUUGAGUUUUAUUGCAUUAAAAAUUUAUUGAGACUUAAAUUAUUUACCGAAAUUGUAGAUUUAAAUAAUAAGUGUUUAAAUAGUAGCAGAACGUUCUGUAAAUUGAAAAAGAUUUAUGGUAACAUAGAUUGAAGAUAUCAGAAGUGAGAAUGUUGAUAUGAGUAGUGUUUAAUAAUGUGAAAAACAUUAUCACCUUAAGUUUUAGGUUUCCAAAGUAAAGUUAAUCUGCUUUGGUAAAAAUUAAUCGGUCUCUAAAAAAAUAGCGAAAGCUUUUAUUGAUGAGUAAAAAAAUGUAUUUUUUUAUUUUUUUAAAGUGACAAAAUAUAAAUAUUAUUUUUAUUUAAUGGAUUAAUAAAAGUUUUAUAGUAUUUUCUGGAAAUAGCUUUAAAAAAUUGAAACCGUACUACAAACCGACACAGGUAAAUAGAUUUAGUAAAUUAAGGUGUUUGAGUUAAUUGUAUUGAAGGAACUCGGCAAAAUGACUCCGUAACUUCGGAAUAAGGAGUAACUAUAUUAAGAGAUUUCUUUUUAUUAGUUGUCACAAAAGCGAGGACAGCGACUGUUUAUCAAAAACACAGGUCUCUGCUAAUUUGUAAAAAGAUGUAUUGAGGCUGACGCCUGCCCAGUGCUGUAAGAUUAAAGAAAAAAGUUAUUUAGCUUUGAUCCUAAUCCCCAGUAAACGGCGGCUGUAACUCUGACGGUCCUAAGGUAGCGAAAUUCAUUGGCAUUUAAUUGGUGUCCUGCAUAAAUGGCGUAACGACUGUCCUACUGUCUCCAAUACAAGCUCAAUGAAAUUGGAUUUUCCGUGAAGAUACGGAAUUCUAACGGCAAGACGGAAAGACCCCGGCACCUUUACUAUAGUUAUAUAUUGUAUUACAAAUUGUUAUGUGUAGUAUAAGUGGUAGUUGUUGUUUAUAUUUAAUAUAAAUAUUUGCACAAGCAAAUAAUUUAAACAUUUUGUGAAAUACCACUCUUGGUAAUUUUUAAGACUAAUUGUUAAAUAGUGUAUAAUGGGUAGUUUUCCUGGGGCGGGAACCUCCAAAAAAGUAACGGGGGUGUGCAUAAGGUAAGUUUAUAUUGGGGUAGAUUUUCAAUAUAUACGUAUAAUAAUAAAUACUUACUUGAUUGUAAGAUUGACAAAUCGAACAAGAACGAAAGUUGGUUAUAGUGAUCCGAUGAUUCUAAAUGGAAAGGUUAUCGCUCAACGAAUAAAAGGUACGCCGGGGAUAACAGGCUAAUCAUUCUCUAGAGACCAUAUCGACGGAAUGGUUUGGCACCUCGAUGUUGGAUUAUCACAUCCUGGAGCUGUAAGUGGUUCCAAGGGUUUGGCUGUUCGCCAAGUAAGGUGGUACAUGAUCUGAGUUCAGAACGAUGUGAAUCAGUUUGGACCCUAUCUACCGUUAGUGUUGAAAACUAAAAGGAUUAGAUUCUAGUACGAGAGGACCGAAAAAAGUGAAUCUAUGGUGUAUCGAUUGUUUUACCAAUAGUAUAGUCGAAUAGCUAAAUUCAUAUUAACUAAUUACUGAAUGCAUAUAAGUAAGAAAUUAACCUUGAAAAUAGUUUUUAAAAAAAUGUAAAAGAUUAUUGCAUCGAUAGGCUUGAAGCAUAAGAGUUGUAAAAUUUUUCGCUAACAAGUACUAAAUUUUUUAUUAUUUAAAACU
This 2767-nucleotide ribosomal RNA is filed under the name Amicula sp. isolate GU52X-4 cfCalB7. RNAcentral's name for it is "large subunit ribosomal RNA". It matches the Rfam family "Bacterial large subunit ribosomal RNA". The record is from RNAcentral. Lineage: Eukaryota; Bacillariophyta; Bacillariophyceae; Diploneidales; Diploneidaceae.